GAUGAACGCUGGCGGCGUGCCUAAUACAUGCAAGUCGAGCGAACGGACGAGAAGCUUGCUUCUCUGAUGUUAGCGGCGGACGGGUGAGUAACACGUGGAUAACCUACCUAUAUGACUGGGAUAACUUCGGGAAACCGGAGCUAAUACCGGAUAAUAUUUUGAACCGCAUGGUUCAAAAGUGAAAGACGGUCUUGCUGUCACUUAUAGAUGGAUCCGCGCUGCAUUAGCUAGUUGGUAAGGUAACGGCUUACCAAGGCAACGAUGCAUAGCCGACCUGAGAGGGUGAUCGGCCACACUGGAACUGAGACACGGUCCAGACUCCUACGGGAGGCAGCAGUAGGGAAUCUUCCGCAAUGGGCGAAAGCCUGACGGAGCAACGCCGCGUGAGUGAUGAAGGUCUUCGGAUCGUAAAACUCUGUUAUUAGGGAAGAACAUAUGUGUAAGUAACUGUGCACAUCUUGACGGUACCUAAUUAGAAAGCCACGGCUAACUACGU
This 496-nucleotide ribosomal RNA is filed under the name uncultured bacterium. Its description in RNAcentral is "partial 16S ribosomal RNA". It matches the Rfam family "Bacterial small subunit ribosomal RNA", at positions 28 to 506 of the family's 1533-position model. The record is from RNAcentral.